RNAcentral lists this ribosomal RNA (1686 nucleotides) under Theristus acer. RNAcentral describes it as "SSU rRNA". It matches the Rfam family "Eukaryotic small subunit ribosomal RNA". Lineage: Eukaryota; Metazoa; Nematoda; Chromadorea; Monhysterida; Xyalidae. The record is from RNAcentral.
AUGGCGGAAGCCGCGAAUAGCUCAUUACAACAGCCGUCGUUUCUUAGAUCUCCGAUUUACUUGGAUAACUGUGGUAAUUCUAGAGCUAAUACACGCAUUCGAGCUCCGCCCGCAAGGAACGAGCGCAUUUAUUAGAACUAAAACCCAUCUGCACUUGUGCAGCACGGUUGGUGACUCUGAAUAACUCAGCUGAUCGCUUCGGUCUCGUACCGGCGACAUGUCUUUCAAGUGUCUGCCUUAUCAACUUUCGAUGGUAGUUUAUGUGACUACCAUGGUUGUAACGGGUAACGGAGAAUCAGGGUUCGACUCCGGAGAGGGAGCCUGAGAAACGGCUACCACUUCUAAGGAAGGCAGCAGGCGCGCAAAUUACCCACUCUCAGUACGAGGAGGUAGUGACGAAAAAUAACGAGACGGGACUCUAUCGAGUACCGUCAUCGGAAUGAGAACAAUCUAAACCCUUUAACGAGGACCUAGCGGAGGGCAAGUCUGGUGCCAGCAGCCGCGGUAAUUCCAGCUCCGUAAGUGUAUAUCUAUGCUGCUGCGGUUAAAAAGCUCGUAGUUGGAUCUGCGUGCAUGGGGAUGGUCCGGCCUUCGGUCGUGAACUGUCUACCUGCACUAAAUAGCUAGUUCACUCUUGGUGCCCUUCAUCGGGUGUCUUGAGCGUCUAGCAAAUUUACUUUGAAAAAAUUAGAGUGCUUAAAACAAGCGUUUUGCUUGAAUACUGGUGCAUGGAAUAAUAGAAUAGGACCUUGGUUCUAUUUUGUUGGUUUUCGGGACACGAGGUAAUGAUUAAGAGGGACAGCCGGGGGCAUUCGUAUUGCGACGCUAGAGGUGAAAUUCUUGGAUCGUCGCAAGACGAACUACUGCGAAAGCAUUUGUCAAGAGUGUUUUCAUUAAUCAAGAACGAAAGUUAGAGGUUCGAAGACGAUCAGAUACCGUCCUAGUUCUAACCGUAAACGAUGCCAACUAGCGAUCCGUUGACGUCACCUUUAGACCCAACGGGGAGCUUCCCGGAAACGAAAGUCUUCGGGUUCCGGGGGAAGUAUGGUUGCAAAGCUGAAACUUAAAGGAAUUGACGGAAGGGCACCACCAGGAGUGGAGCCUGCGGCUUAAUUUGACUCAACACGGGAAAACUCACCCGGCCCGGACACCGUAAGGAUUGACAGAUUGAGAGCUCUUUCUUGAUUCGGUGGGUGGUGGUGCAUGGCCGUUCUUAGUUGGUGGAGCGAUUUGUCUGGUUUAUUCCGAUAACGAACGAGACUCCAACCUAUUAAAUAGUGGAUCAAUCACUAGUUGAUAUCACUUCUUAGAGGGACGGGCGGUUUUCAGCCGCAUGAGAAGGAGCAAUAACAGGUCUGUGAUGCCCUUAGAUGUCCGGGGCUGCACGCGCGCUACACUGAAGGAAUCAGCGUGCUAGAAAACCUUGUUUGACAUGGCUAGGUAACCCCUUGAAAAUCCUUCGUGAUUGGGAUUGUGAUUUGCAAAUGUAUCACAUGAACGAGGAAUUCCCAGUAAGUGCGGGUCAUAAGCUCGCGCUGAUUACGUCCCUGCCCUUUGUACACACCGCCCGUCGCUGCCCGGAACUGAACCACUUCGAGAAGACUGGGGACUGAGAUCUUAAGGUCUUAACGGACUUUUUGAUUUUGGAAACCAAUCUAAUCGCAGUGGUUUGGAAACCCGGGGCCA